AACCAGACUCCUACGGGAGGCAGCAGUGGGGAAUAUUGCACAAUGGGGGAAACCCUGAUGCAGCGACGCCGCGUGAGCGAUGAAGUAUUUCGGUAUGUAAAGCUCUAUCAGCAGGGAAGAAGAUGACGGUACCUGACUAAGAAGCCCCGGCUAACUACGUGCCAGCAGCCGCGGUAAUACGUAGGGGGCAAGCGUUAUCCGGAUUUACUGGGUGUAAAGGGAGCGUAGACGGCGAUGCAAGUCAGAUGUGAAAGCCCGGGGCUCAACCCCGGGACUGCAUUUGGAACUGUGUGGCUGGAGUGUCGGAGAGGCAGGCGGAAUUCCUAGUGUAGCGGUGAAAUGCGUAGAUAUUAGGAGGAACACCAGUGGCGAAGGCGGCCUGCUGGACGAUGACUGACGUUGAGGCUCGAAAGCGUGGGGAGCGAACAGGAUUAGAUACCCGUGUA
RNAcentral lists this ribosomal RNA (446 nucleotides) under uncultured bacterium. Its description in RNAcentral is "bacterial SSU rRNA". It matches the Rfam family "Bacterial small subunit ribosomal RNA", at positions 329 to 792 of the family's 1533-position model. The record is from RNAcentral.